Molecule: ribosomal RNA, 233 nt
Filed under: uncultured bacterium
Lineage: Bacteria
Description: partial 16S ribosomal RNA
Rfam family: Bacterial small subunit ribosomal RNA
Source: RNAcentral
ACUCCUACGGGAGGCAGCAGUGGGGAAUAUUGCACAAUGGGCGCAAGGCCUGAUGCAGCCAUGCCGCGUGUAUGAAGAAGGCCCUCGGGUUGUAAAGUACUUUCAGUGGUGAGGAAGGUUCGUGGUUAAUACCCACGUAAUUUGACGUUAGCCACAGAAGAAGCACCGGCUAACUCCGUGCCAGCAGCCGCGGUAAUACGGAGGGUGCAAGCGUUAAUCGGAAUUACUGGGCG